Zonotrichia albicollis (white-throated sparrow) is the source of this 518-nucleotide long non-coding RNA. The record is from Ensembl. Lineage: Eukaryota; Metazoa; Chordata; Aves; Passeriformes; Passerellidae.
UGAAAAUGACCAAAUCACUCACCUUCUUUUUUUUCCCUCUUCUUUUUCUGAUUAACAUCCUAGGCGUGUUGUUCAUUAAUUCUUGGCAUCUGCUUUUGUCACUUCUUGGGAUGAAAAUCUAUGAAGAAAAAUACCUCCCUACUUAAUAAUUUUUCCAGGGGCUGUGAGAAUUCAAGGAGCUGUGGGUGAGGUGGCCAACUUCUUCCUCUUCAUGCUCAUCUUUUCCAAGUGACCUUCCAAGGACCUGAAGCUUUACCCAAGAGGUUUUCAUGACAGUAGAUACUGACCUGGAUGCGACAGAAAAAAGCUGAAGAGAGGCAUGAAUGAACUUAAAAUUCAAAAUAAUAUGGACAAAAGAGGCUUCUUUCCCAGUUUUCUCUACUUUACAGCACUUCUCUGGAAGUUCUUUCCGUUUCCUCUCUCUAUUUUUGCACGUGUCUUCUGUAGGGCAGUGCUGGGUCCUCAGGCGUUUGAGGGUGAAAUCUCUAUUGUUCACCCCACCUCCAGAAUGAUCAGAA